Molecule: ribosomal RNA, 468 nt
Filed under: uncultured bacterium
Lineage: Bacteria
Description: partial 16S ribosomal RNA
Rfam family: Bacterial small subunit ribosomal RNA
Source: RNAcentral
GACGAACGCUGGCGGCGUGCUUAACACAUGCAAGUCGAACGGAAAGGCCCUGCUUUUGUGGGGUGCUCGAGUGGCGAACGGGUGAGUAACACGUGAGUAACCUGCCCUUGACUUUGGGAUAACUUCAGGAAACUGGGGCUCAUACCGCGUAUGAUCUCCUGCUCCAUGGUGUGGGUUGGAAAGUGUCGGCGGUUGUGUAUGGUCUCGCUGCUUAUCGGCUUCUUGGUCGGGUAGUUGCUUUCCAAGGGUUUGACGGGUAGCCUGCAUGAGAGGGUUACCGGCCACAUUGGGCCUGAGAUACGGACCAGAAGCGUACGGGAGGCAGCAGUCGGAAAUAUUGCACAGUGGGCGGAAGCCUGAUGCAGAAACGUCGCGUGCGGGAUGACGGCCUUCGGGUUGUAAACCGAUUUCGACUGUGACGAAGCGGGAGUGACGGUAAUGGGUAAAGAAGCAACGGCUAACUACGUG